Molecule: long non-coding RNA, 2890 nt
Filed under: Homo sapiens (human)
Lineage: Eukaryota; Metazoa; Chordata; Mammalia; Primates; Hominidae
Description: HSALNT0313424
Source: RNAcentral
GGUGUUCUGACUAGGAGAGGCUUUGCUAGCUGGACAGACAAUCUGGGCAGUAUUUUGAAAAGAGAAUGAAAAAGAAAUUUUUAAUGUGGAAACAACAGAGCCAAAGGUAUAAAAGGACAUAGGGUGCUUGGGGGAGGCAGUAGAUUGUAUGGUGGCCUCCCAAAAGACAGGUCCACCUGGAAUCUGUGAAGGUGACUUUAUUUGGAAAAAAGGUCUUUGCAGCUGUAAUCGAGUUAAGGAUCUUGAGAUGAGAGCAUCCUGGAUUAGAGUGGGUCCUAAGUCCUUAGAAGAGAAGACAGACAGGAAGAAGGCCAUGUGAAGACAGCGGCAGAGUUUGGAGUGAUGUGCCUUCCAGCCAAGGAACACCAGGAUUGCCUGCAGCCACCAGAAGCUGGAAGAAGCAGUGAAGGAUUCUCUCUAGACCCUUCAGACGGAACAGCUGCUGACACCUCAAUUUCAGAAUUCUGGCCUCCAGAACUACACACAAGUGGAGAAGAUAAAUAGUAAUUUGGAACCAAAACUCAGGACGUCCCAGGAGAGGCUAGAUUAGGAAUUCUUUGAUUUGGGAUCACGAAAAUGAAGUAUCCAUAUUUUAACAGAAUGAUUAGUGGCAGAGGAAUCAUCUAAGAAAACUGAGAAGACUCUGCCAGAGUGAUGGGAAGAAAACUAGAUGAGAAAGCACCAUUCUGGAAGACAUGCUCCCAUGAACCAUGGAGAGAAGAGGAGAGGGAAGAAGUUAUUUGUGAUGUCAUUUGCCUGUGUCAUGGCCUGCCUUCCCUAGAUAUUGUCCUAAUGUGAGCAUCACACCUAAGGUACUGAAGUAGAGUUCUGGCUGUUCCUUACGGACAUCUCUGGUGAAUAAUCUGAGAAGGCCUCACUUAUAAUUUGGCUUGAAGAAAACACGAGAGCAAGUCAUGCAAUGUUCAAGUAAGAGUGCAGCAGUCAGAAGAAAAAGCUAUGCAAGGGCCCUAAGGUUGAAAGUGUUCUUAGUGUCUUUGAGAAACAUCAAGGAAUGUGCAAAAGGCAGAAUGAUAGAAGAUGAGAUCAGAGAGGUGAGGGGUGGGGAGGGGUGUCACAUGUGUCCCUGGAGGUCAUUGUAGGGCUUUUGCCUUUCAUUCUGAAUGAAGUAGGAAGCCUUUGUAGUGUCUUGAACAGAGACGUGAUAUGAUCUGGUUUAUGAUUUAAAAGGCCUAGUUGGGUGCAUUCAGGACUGGCUACAGUUUGAAGGACCUGGUGAGAAAUGAAAGUGUGAGGCUAUUUGUUCAAAAAUUAUCAAGAAAUUCAAGAUGGCAACAGCACAGCAUUAAACCGAGCACUGGGUCUUUGUGAGUGAGGGACUCUGUGUGACUGCAUGGGUCACAUGCCCAUGAUGCUGGCCCUGGAUGCAUUGAGUAUAGGCUGCCAGGAGUGAAGGGCAGAGGCAGUGAGACCUAUAAAAAGUCAAUGCAAAUAUCCAGUGGUGGGUGAAAGUAUAGACAUAGCAGCGGAAGUGGUGAGGAGGAGGCACACACUGUGGUUGUUGUUUUUAUAUAUUUUUUGAAGGUAGAGCUGAUGGCAUUUGCUAAUGGAUUGGUUGAAAUUUAUUGAGAUAAAAAAGAGGAGGAGCAGGUCUUUAGUGUAAAUCAGAAGUUCAUGGUUGGACUUUAAUAAAUGUGAAGUCAUUUGAAAGCAAGUGGGAGGAUGACAUUUAAACAGUUGGAUGUAUGAUUCUGGAAUUGAGGAAAGAGAUCCAGAUUGUAGAUCCAAAUUUGGGAGUCUCAUCUCCAUAAAGAAAGCAUUUAAGAUCACAAAAGCAGAUAAGAUGGGGCAGAUAGGAGAAAAAUGGGGAAAGAAGAAAAGAGAAGGUAGGGAACAGAUAUAUAAAGAGAAGAACAAAGUUAGAGGAUAAGACACUCUACUUAGAGAUCAGAGACAUUGGGAGGAACAAACAAAAGAGAACUAGAACUGUGAAUGAGGAGGGAUGAUCCAGAGGCCACGUGAGAAAAAUGUGUCCAGAAGAAAGUGUUAAUCAUGUCAUGUGGCCCAGCAGUUGAGGACUGAGGAUCAACCAUUGAAUUUAGCUUCAUAAAGGUUGUAUGUGUUCUUGGUAGGAACUGCUUUGGUUUAACAGUGAAAAUAAAAACUUCUCUGAAGUGCAAACAAUUUAGAAUGAAGGGAGAGGUAAUGAAAGAUAAAAAACACAUACAACUCUCAAAGAGUUUUGAAGAAAGGGAAACAGACGAAUGAGUGGUGACUGGAGGGAAAAAUGGGGUCAUGUCAUCAUUUUUUGUUUUGUUUUUGAAUUGUGAGAAAUAAAAAUGUUAUUAUUUAGAGGGAAUUAUGUAGUAUAGAAGGAAAAUUUGAUGAUGGAGAAACAAAAGGGACAAUUGCUAGAGUGAUGUCCUGAAUAAUAGAGAAAGGAUGGGGUACAGGGCCCAAGGGAAGUAGAUGGCUUUGCAUAGAAGCACAGACAGUUCGUUUAUAUUAAUGGGGUUGUGGGGAGAGAGCAGGGUUUUGGGUCCAGAUGUAGGAAGGAGGCAGAUGUUAUGUUGGGAGGGUAUAGGAAUUCUAUUCGGAUUAAUUCUCAUUUCCACUUAAUUCUCAUUUACAGGGGAAGUAAAUUCAACAACAGAAAUUGAGGAUGAGGAACAUGGUGUUGCAGUUCAAACCAGUUCCAGCCAAAAUGGACUCUAGUCACAAACAAAUAGUAAUAACAAUCCAAACUUGUGGCUGAAUAGAGUUCUGAAGUUUUGAGAAAGAGCCAAGAGAAAAUUCAGUGUGAAGAUGAUGGAGUGACACAAUAGAAGGAACCUGAAUCACUGAAUCAUCACUUGGAAGAAAGCAGCCCAGACUAGUUACCCAACUCCCAUCAGACAGUGACCAGAGUGAGAAAUAAGCCUUGUGUAUGGUG